UAAAAACCCCGACUUCGGAAGGGGUGUAUUUAUUAGAUACAAAGCCAAUGCCCUUCGGGGCUCUUUGGUGAUUCAUGAUAACUAUACGAAUCGCACGGCCUUGCGCCGGCGAUGGUUCAUUCAAAUUUCUUCCCUAUCAACUUUCGAUGUUUGGGUAUUGGCCAAACAUGGUUGCAACGGGUAACGGAGGGUUAGGGCUCGACCCCGGAGAAGGAGCCUGAGAAACGGCUGCUACAUCCAAGGAGGGCAGCAGGCGCGCAAAUUACCCAAUCCCGACUCGGGGAGGUAGUGACAAUAAAUACUGAUACAGGGCCCUUUCGGGCCUUGUAAUUGGAAUGAGUACAAUUUAAAUCCCUUAACGAGGAACAAUUGGAGGGCAAGUCUGGUGCCAGCAGCCGCGGUAAUUCCAGCUCCAAUAGCGUAUAUUAAAGUUGUUGUGGUUAAAAAGCUCGUAGUUGAACCCUGGGCCUGGCUGGCCGGUCCGCCUCACCGCGUGCACUGGUCCGGCCGGGCCUUUCCCUCUGUGGAACCCCAUACCCUUCACUGGGCGUGGCGGGGAAACAGGACAUUUACUUU
RNAcentral lists this ribosomal RNA (576 nucleotides) under uncultured eukaryote. RNAcentral's name for it is "SSU rRNA". It matches the Rfam family "Eukaryotic small subunit ribosomal RNA", at positions 174 to 758 of the family's 1831-position model. The record is from RNAcentral.